This 315-nucleotide ribosomal RNA is filed under the name Triticum aestivum (bread wheat). RNAcentral describes it as "partial small subunit ribosomal RNA". The record is from RNAcentral. Lineage: Eukaryota; Viridiplantae; Streptophyta; Magnoliopsida; Poales; Poaceae.
AUGGCUAUGUUGACGGCUGAGGUGAUCUGGUUACGGUGGUUACUUGAGGAUUUUGGUGUGUCUGCUACUACCUCAACUCCUCUCCUGUCUGACAGCACAGGUGCUAUCAGUAUUGCGCGUGACCCGGUGAAGCAUGAGCUUACCAAGCACAUCGGUGUGGAUGCCCACUUUGUGCGUGCUGCUGUGCAGGAUCAGACUCUUGCUCUUCACUAUGUGCCCUCGGAGUUACAGUUGACUGACUUCUUCACGAAGGCCCAAACUCGGGCACAGCAUGGGUUUUUCCUCUCCAAACUCAGUGUUGUUGAUCCACCAUGA